CCUACGUGAGGCAGCAGUAGGGAAUCUUUCACAAUGGGCGAAAGCCUGAUGGAGCAACGCCGCGUGCAGGAUGAAGGCCUUCGGGUUGUACACUGCUUUUAUAAGCGAGAAAUAUGAUGUAACUUAUGAAUAAGGAUCGGCUAACUACGUACCAGCAGACGCGGUCAUACGUAGGAUCCGAGCAUUAUCCGGAGUGACUGGGUGUAAAGAGUUGCGUAGGUGGCAUAAUAAGUAGCUAGUGAAAUCUGGUGGCUCAACCAUUCAGACUAUUAGCUAAACUGUUAAGCUCGAGACCGUUAGGGGUAACUGGAAUUUCUAGUGUAGGAGUGAAAUCCGUAGAUAUUAGAAGGAACACCAAUAGCGUAGGCAGGUUGCUGGGACGGUUCUGACACUAAGGCACGAAAGCGUAGGGAGCAAACGGGAUUAGAUACCCUUGUAGUC
This 441-nucleotide ribosomal RNA is filed under the name uncultured bacterium. RNAcentral describes it as "partial 16S ribosomal RNA". It matches the Rfam family "Bacterial small subunit ribosomal RNA", at positions 338 to 795 of the family's 1533-position model. The record is from RNAcentral.